GGCUUCCAGAGAUGACGGACUGUAACCCAUAAGGCACAAUACGUCUUUUUCUCUCCGCGUUACCUUUUGGUCGUGGUGUUUAUCACAGCAACAGACAGCAAGCCUGUUGCUGGAACAACAUGCUUAAAUAUAAAGCUUGAAAGAUCUAUGGGAACUCGGAGAAUUUCCAGAAAGAUCCCUGGGGAGCUGGACUUGAAUGCCAGCUGAUGUUUCUCAAGGCAAGAUCUACCUUCUUGAAAGGCACAUCUGCCCCAACCCAGGACACACUCUCCAGGAUCCCCUAGUGGACAUCCAGAAUGGCCGACGGUGGCAACCUUAUGCCCACGCUCCUGCCAGUGUGUUCAUGAAUCAGCUAUGGAAGGAGCCGAUGGGUGACAGCAUCCCUGAGCGAGGAUGAUCACCCCGUCACCUGCAAUUCAGCCGCCAAGUGGGGUAGUCUUGCGAUCCUGGCACUUGGGAGGCUGUGAGGCCCAGAGAACCCUUGAUCGAGCCUGGCUCAAAGAGUACCGGAAGGACUGACUCUCCAUGCAGACCCUGCAGAAGACGCCCUAGGGCCCCGGAGAGCCCAGGCUCGCCCCUUCCUCACCACAGCUCAGCUCUGUGCUCGGUGGGACCACAUCUCACUCCAUCCUAUGUCCCCAAGACAAGCCCAGGGGGCUGGUCUUCCUAGCACACAGCCAUGUGUUCAAGCUAUCCGCACAAUUAUCACCCAUUUUGUGCUGUGCUUUAAAUGGACUCCUGUUUUUUUUAACUGUAAAUAGACGUAUAGGACAAGGCAGCUUUACAGUACUAUAAACGAAACGUCAG
Peromyscus californicus insignis is the source of this 807-nucleotide long non-coding RNA. RefSeq lists it as uncharacterized. The transcript is spliced from 3 exons. NCBI's taxonomy places the organism in Eukaryota, Metazoa, Chordata, Mammalia, Rodentia, Cricetidae. The record is from RefSeq and is a predicted model, not a curated record.